UACGUAGGAGACGAGCGUUGUCCGGAGUUACUGGGCUUAAAGGGCGCGUAGGCGGGCAUUCUAGUCUGUGGUGAAAUCCGGCAGCUUAACUGUCGAACUGCCGUGGAUACUGGAUGUCUCGAGGGAGGUAGGGGCGUGCGGAACUAAUGGUGGAGCGGUGAAAUGCGUAGAGAUCGGGAGGAGGCCGGUGGCGAAGGCGG
This 200-nucleotide ribosomal RNA is filed under the name uncultured bacterium. RNAcentral's name for it is "partial 16S ribosomal RNA". It matches the Rfam family "Bacterial small subunit ribosomal RNA", at positions 524 to 724 of the family's 1533-position model. The record is from RNAcentral.